RNAcentral lists this transfer RNA (64 nucleotides) under Triatoma rubida. RNAcentral's name for it is "tRNA-Ile". The record is from RNAcentral. Lineage: Eukaryota; Metazoa; Arthropoda; Insecta; Hemiptera; Reduviidae.
AAUAAGGUGCCUGAUUAAAGGAAUAUCUUGAUAGGAUAGAUAAUGUAAGAAAUUACUCUUAUUA